UUGGAUUUUCGUCUUUUAAACUUCGCCAUGCUUGAAACAACUUUGGCUCCAAGACAAACUAUAUAGGUGGAAUAAAACAAAUAUAAAUUGAAAAUCUCAACAAGUAAAUUUGUUACGUAUAUACCUAUAUUAUAUUGCUUUGUGUAUAUCAUAUCUACAUAGAUACACAUUUUGUUGGUACCAUUUUUGGAGAACGUGUACAUUAAUUUACAUAUAGAAAUCAUGACUUCCUCUCUUAGUAAAUUCUACAUGGUGUUCAUGUUUCUAUGCCUUAUCAUCAUUUUGCUUAUUUUCAUAUAUGAGGUGGAAGCUAAACAAUAUUGUAAAGAGCUAAGUCAAACAUGGAAAGGAGGGAUUUGUCUUUUUAGCCACAAGGAAUGUAAUUCAGUGUGUGUCAAUUCGGAGCAUGCAAAGUUUGGUGCUUGUUUAUUUCCUGUUUGCCUUUGCGUCUACAAUUGCACAGAAUAUUCCCACCCGACAUAGAGCUAUCAAGAACGGACACCAGAAAUGAGAUAUGAUACGGACAUGAUAUCUCGACACUAAUUAAUAAUAAUUUAAGAAAAUGUUAUAUUUCAAUGUAAUCACAAAUAUCGGUAUUGGAUCAUGUCAGAUGCCGACAAGUAUUGUCUGAUAAUGUAACACGUCUAAUUUAAAUAGUAUUUUUACUUCAUAGAUAGAGAGGCUAAUAAGGUCGCUAAUGAUUUAAGUAAUCUUAGUUGUUGUCUUUCUUUGGAAUAUAUGAUUAGAUAAGGGGUUUGGCUUGGUUUGGGUUUUUUUUCUUUCUCUUUUUUUCUCCUUUAGUUUGUGGAAAUGUAGUACUACAUGUACUAAUUUUCAUUUAUGGGUUUAGUAUUACUUGUAUUUAUUUUUUUAUUAAUAUUUUCACAGUUUAAAAAAUA
Trifolium pratense (red clover) is the source of this 899-nucleotide long non-coding RNA. RefSeq lists it as uncharacterized. The transcript has 2 exons. The record is from RefSeq and is a predicted model, not a curated record. NCBI's taxonomy places the organism in Eukaryota, Viridiplantae, Streptophyta, Magnoliopsida, Fabales, Fabaceae.